Molecule: non-coding RNA, 1083 nt
Organism: Cebus imitator (Panamanian white-faced capuchin)
Lineage: Eukaryota; Metazoa; Chordata; Mammalia; Primates; Cebidae
Source: the annotation of a RefSeq genome assembly
GACUCCUCAGCUCUUCUCACAAUGAGGCUCCCUGCUCAGCUCCUGGGGCUGCUAAUGCUCUGGGUCCCUGGAUCCAGUGGGGAUAUUGUGAUGACCCAGACACCACUCUUCCUGUCUGUCACUCCUGGAGAGCAGGCCUCCAUCUCCUGCAGGUCUAGUCAGAGCCUCCUGCAUAGUGAUGGAAACACCUACUUGAAUUGGAUUUUGCAGAAGCCAGGUCAACCUCCAAGGCGCCUAAUUUAUAAGGUUUCUACCCGGGACCCUGGGGUCCCAGAUAGAUUCAGCGGCAGUGGGGCAGGGACAGAUUUUACACUGAAAAUCAGCAGAGUAGAGGCUGAGGAUGCUGGGGUUUAUUACUGCCUGCAGGGUACACAAUAUCCUCACACAGUGGUACAGCUCUGAACAAAAACCUCCCUGCUGGAGUGGCCCAGCUGCUCAAAUGUGUUGUUUACCUGGGCAGCAGCUGAACAGAAUCUCUGUAUGAGAGCAACAUGUUGGAGAACUCAGGGCAACAGGUUGCAGCUGAAGGUUCUGUCCUGUGAGUGCCUCAGUUGUAAGUCAGUCAAAACCUAUUCACAGCUCUUUCAGCUGCAACAGCCUUGGCAUGGCAUACGCCAUAGGAAACCGGAAAUGAUCCCAGUGCCUGCACAGGUAAUAGCACUGAGGGAGAGCUGAAGGAAAUCUCAUUCCAAUCCUUCCUGCCUUGCCUGCAUUGGGAAAUAAACAGGUUAACAGACAGACAAGUAAGCCAGAUUUGUUGCAACACUUGUUGAAUACAUCUUGAGGUUUAGCAGUUUUAAGUAUACAUUUAAGAGGACAGUAUGUGGUAAUAUUCAAAAGUUGAUAUUUUUCAACUUUCCUAACUUAUUUUUCACUUUCGCCUCUUAUCUUCCCACCACAUAUUGAUGGUGGAGAGAACCUUCUGCACAAGCUGUCAUCAUGAGGAGCUGGGUGAGGGCAAUUAGUAAAAACCUUGGAUUUCAACCUCAAAAUGGACUUUUGUAAAUUCAUGGGAGAUAGAAAAUAUGAAUGCUAAAAUUCCUUUAUUUGCUUCAAUUGUUUCUUGCUGAUAGAAAAGGGUAG